Molecule: long non-coding RNA, 714 nt
Organism: Zootermopsis nevadensis
Lineage: Eukaryota; Metazoa; Arthropoda; Insecta; Blattodea; Termopsidae
Source: RefSeq, a predicted model, not a curated record
GCCAUUUGCUUGUUUGUUCCGUGCCUUUAAGCACAAAAACAGUACAUAACGGAGAAACACAAACCAGUUUGUAUAUAAUCAUACGCAGUUAAGGUUCUACCUUCAGAGGAGACUGGCAGUACGACUUGGAAACAUUGUCUCACUCAGCAUUCCACAACGUUUACACCAUGAGAGUUCUACUGAUGUGCCUUGUUACCAUAGCAACAGCAGGACUAUGCCUUGCAGCGCCUGUGGAUAAUGACGUCAGUAAAGAUGAUGAUUACAAUUAUGGUCAAUCGGAAGAAGACCCAUCGUUUAUAUACCAGGAGAUGAUCCUACCCGGCCGGGACACACUUCCCAAGGAGUUCUUCGGGCCUGAAUAUGUGUGGGACACGAAGGGAUUCCCUAGGCGAGCGGAGGUGUCUCAGUCUCAGGUAGACACCGGUAGCGUGUCCACCAUCCGCAAAAACCAGAAAGCACAGAAACUGAGAUGAAGUUGAAAAAAUCAGGCCCCAGUGUUCUAAAAACACGUAUGAAAAUUGAGGUGUAGUACAAAAUUAAUUAAAUAAAAUUUGAAAUAGCCAAUGAAAACAUGUAUUUUUUUAGUUAUUAGUGAAGUGUUUCCACUGGGCAGCAUAUAGAAUUUAAUAUAAUUUAAUAUCUCACAGCUUGACGAAUUAUGUAUUAUUGUAACAUUUUAUGACUGUGUGCAUAAAUUGUACUGACCCUUCUUUA